RNAcentral lists this ribosomal RNA (515 nucleotides) under uncultured bacterium. RNAcentral describes it as "partial 16S ribosomal RNA". It matches the Rfam family "Bacterial small subunit ribosomal RNA", at positions 28 to 523 of the family's 1533-position model. The record is from RNAcentral.
GAUGAACGCUGGCGGCGUGCCUAAUACAUGCAAGUCGAGCGAAUGGAUUAAGAGCUUGCUCUUAUGAAGUUAGCGGCGGACGGGUGAGUAACACGUGAGUAACCUGCCCAUAAGACUGGGAUAACUCCGGGAAACCGGGGCUAAUACCGGAUAACAUUUUGAACCGCAUGGUUCGAAAUUGAAAGGCGGCUUCGGCUGUCACUUAUGGAUGGACCCGCGUCGCAUUAGCUAGUUGGUGAGGUAACGGCUCACCAAGGCAACGAUGCGUAGCGGACCUGAGAGGGUGAUCGGCCACACUGGGACUGAGACACGGCCCAGACUCCUACGGGAGGCAGAAGUAGGGAAUCUUCCGCAAUGGACGAAAGUCUGACGGAGCAACGCCGCGUGAGUGAUGAAGGCUUUCGGGUCGUAAAACUCUGUUGUUAGGGAGGAACAAGUGCUAGCUGAAUAAGCUGGCACCUUGACGGUACCUAACCAGAAAGCCACGGCUAACUACGUGCCAGCAGCCGCCGUAA